Molecule: ribosomal RNA, 1382 nt
Filed under: metagenome
Description: bacterial SSU rRNA
Rfam family: Bacterial small subunit ribosomal RNA
Source: RNAcentral
GGGGACCGCAAGGUUUCCGGGCGACUAGUGGCGAACGGGUGAGUAAUAUGCGGGAAUCUACCCUUGAGACAGGGAUAACUCGCCGAAAGGUGAGUUAAUACCAGAUGUCACCGCGCGAUGACAAUUGCGCGUUUAAAGGAUGGCCUCUGCUUGCAAGCUAUCGCUCAAGGAGGAGCCCGCAUCCUAUCAGCUAGUUGGCGGGGUAAUGGCCCACCAAGGCUAUGACGGGUAGCUGGUCUGAGAGGACGACCAGCCACACUGGGACUGAGACACGGCCCAGACUCCUACGGGAGGCAGCAGUUGGGAAUAUUGCACAAUGGGGGAAACCCUGAUGCAGCGACGCCGCGUGGGCGAUGAAGGCCUUCGGGUUGUAAAGCCCUGUUAGAGGGGAAGAAGUCCGGAUUGGUGAAUAACCUUUUCGGGCGGACGUUACCCUCAGAGAAAGCCACGGCUAACUCUGUGCCAGCAGCCGCGGUAAGACAGAGGUGGCGAGCGUUGUCCGGAUUCACUGGGCGUAAAGGGCGUGUAGGCGGUCAUGUAAGUCAGUUGUGAAAGGCGUCGGCUCAACCGAAGCAGUGCAGCUGAUACUGCGUGACUGGAGGGCAGGAGAGGGAAGUAGAAUUCCCGGUGUAGCAGUGAAAUGCGUAGAUAUCGGGAAGAAUACCAAUGGCGAAGGCGACUUCCUGGCCUGCUUCUGACGCUGAGGCGCGAAAGCCAGGGGAGCGAACGGGAUUAGAUACCCCGGUAGUCCUGGCUGUAAACGAUGGAUACUAGGUGUGGGGAAGGUCCACUUUUCCGUGCCGAAGGUAACCCGUUAAGUAUCCCGCCUGGGGACUACGACCGCAAGGUUGAAACUCAAAUGAAUUGACGGGGGCCCGCACAAGCGGUGGAGCAUGUGGCUCAAUUCGACACAACGCGAGGAACCUUACCAGGGUUUGACAUGCACCGGACAGUUUUCGAAAGGAAAUCUUCCCGCAAGGGACCGGUGUACAGGUGCUGCAUGGCUGUCGUCAGCUCGUGUCGUGAGAUGUUGGGUUAAGUCCUGCAACGAGCGCAACCCCUAUCCUUAGUUGCCAUCAGGUCAAGCUGGGCACUCUAGGGAGACUGCCCGGGUAACCGGGAGGAAGGCGGGGAUGACGUCAAGUCCUCAUGGCCCUUACACCCUGGGCUGCACACGUGCUACAAUGACUGGUACAAAGGGUCGCGAAAUCGCAAGGUGAAGCCAAUCCCAAAAAACCAGCCCCAGUUCAGAUUGCAGGCUGCAACUCGCCUGCAUGAAGGCGGAAUCGCUAGUAAUCGCGGAUAAGUACGCCGCGGUGAAUACGUUCCCGGGCCUUGUACACACCGCCCGUCAACCCACGAAAGCUGACUGUACCCGAAGC